RNAcentral lists this ribosomal RNA (253 nucleotides) under uncultured bacterium. RNAcentral's name for it is "partial 16S ribosomal RNA". It matches the Rfam family "Bacterial small subunit ribosomal RNA", at positions 524 to 776 of the family's 1533-position model. The record is from RNAcentral.
UACAGAGGUCUCAAGCGUUGUUCGGAUUCAUUGGGCGUAAAGGGUGCGUAGGCGGCGCGGUAAGUCGGGUGUGAAAUCUCGGGGCUUAACUCCGAAACUGCAUUCGAUACUGCCGUGCUUGAGGACUGGAGAGGAGACUGGAAUUUACGGUGUAGCGGUGAAAUGCGUAGAUAUCGUAAGGAAGACCAGUGGCGAAGGCGGGUCUCUGGACAGUUCCUGACGCUGAGGAGCGAAAGCGUGGGUAGCAAACAGG